RNAcentral lists this ribosomal RNA (518 nucleotides) under uncultured bacterium. RNAcentral describes it as "bacterial SSU rRNA". It matches the Rfam family "Bacterial small subunit ribosomal RNA", at positions 501 to 1016 of the family's 1533-position model. The record is from RNAcentral.
CUACGUGCCAGCAGCCGCGGUAAUACGUAGGUGGCAAGCGUUGUCCGGAUUUAUUGGGCGUAAAGCGAGCGCAGGCGGUCAAUUAAGUCUGAUGUGAAAGCCCCCGGCUCAACCGGGGAGGGUCAUUGGAAACUGGUUGACUUGAGUGCAGAAGAGGAGAGUGGAAUUCCAUGUGUAGCGGUGAAAUGCGUAGAUAUAUGGAGGAACACCAGUGGCGAAGGCGACUCUCUGGUCUGUAACUGACGCUGAGGCUCGAAAGCGUGGGUAGCAAACAGGAUUAGAUACCCUGGUAGUCCACGCCGUAAACGAUGAGUGCUAGGUGUUAGACCCUUUCCGGGGUUUAGUGCCGUAGCUAACGCAUUAAGCACUCCGCCUGGGGAGUACGACCGCAAGGUUGAAACUCAAAGGAAUUGACGGGGGCCCGCACAAGCGGUGGAGCAUGUGGUUUAAUUCGAAGCAACGCGAAGAACCUUACCAGGUCUUGACAUCCCUCUGACCGCUCUAGAGAUAGAGCUUUC